AUGCCUUUCUCGGUCUUUUGGCUAAGAUUAAGUGUAGUAUCUGUUCUUAUCAGUUUAAUUUCUGAUAAGUAGACUAUCGGAUCGCAUGGUAUUAAAUUAAUUUUUUUGGGUAGAAGAUCCAUUACAGUAGCUUUCUAUUGGGGUCUUAAGCGUUUUCUUUGCGUUGUAUUAUUGCAAAGUUUGGCAUACUCUUA
Molecule: small nuclear RNA, 194 nt
Filed under: Zostera marina
Lineage: Eukaryota; Viridiplantae; Streptophyta; Magnoliopsida; Alismatales; Zosteraceae
Description: U2 spliceosomal RNA
Rfam family: U2 spliceosomal RNA
About the family: U2 is a small nuclear RNA (snRNA) component of the spliceosome (involved in pre-mRNA splicing). Complementary binding between U2 snRNA (in an area lying towards the 5' end but 3' to hairpin I) and the branchpoint sequence (BPS) of the intron results the bulging out of an unpaired adenosine, on the BPS, which initiates a nucleophilic attack at the intronic 5' splice site, thus starting the first of two transesterification reactions that mediate splicing.
Source: Rfam by way of RNAcentral